This 264-nucleotide ribosomal RNA is filed under the name uncultured bacterium. Its description in RNAcentral is "partial 16S ribosomal RNA". It matches the Rfam family "Bacterial small subunit ribosomal RNA", at positions 793 to 1055 of the family's 1533-position model. The record is from RNAcentral.
GUCCACGCCCUAAACGAUGUCAACUGGGUGUUCGGGAAGCGAUUUCUGGGUACCGUAGCUAACGCGAGAAGUUGACCGCCUGGGGAGUACGGCCGCAAGGUUAAAACUCAAAGGAAUUGACGGGGACCCGCACAAGCGGUGGAUGAUGUGGAUUAAUUCGAUGCAACGCGAACAACCUUACCUACCCUUGACAUGUCCGGAACCCUGCUGAGAGGUGGGGGUGCCCGAAAGGGAAUCGGAACACAGGUGCUGCAUGGCUGUCGU